UCCAAAUUGCUUUCUUUCUUGUUUUCCUUACUAUUUUGCUUUGCUGAUAUGUGUGGUUUCUUUUUGUUUAGGCUUGCUUCUUUUUCUAGCUCCUCGCUUAAAAAUAUGUGAUUUUGGGUACUCAAAGGUAUUAUUCUCUGUUUUCUAUUUGUUACUUAUCCUUUUCUUUUGGAUAAUGUCUUUGUUACUAUUAUCUAAUGUAUACUUUGUGUCCACACUUUUAAUAGAAAGAAAAGGAGCUCAGAGCUAGUCAAGAUGACCUUCUAAUAGACCACUUGUUUCUAUAUCAAUUGCCUUGAUGGAUUACCGUAGCUAAGCCAAUCCCCUGGACCAAUGUCUUUCUUGUUAGAAACUUAAGACCUACCUGAUACCUGUCUCAUCAUUUCUUUUAUAACUCUGUGCACUUUGAUGGGAUCGAUCCUGUUAAGCUAAUCGUUUUUCUUUCCACGAGACAUACGGAUCGGAUCUGCUAUAGCAGGAGGAGCAAAUCAUUUCUAUUAUAACUCUGUGCACUUUGUUACUUAUUCUUUUCUUUUAUAUUCUCCUCAUACGUAGGAGGAGCAAAAGCAGUUCAUGUACCAACAAAAGUUGAAUGCUUGGCUGGAAUCACCAUUAGGAUGGAAGCUUUGGGAUCAGAGCACUCAAUGGCUGUUACUGAUGGUCAUAUGGGGUAACUUUAUAUGUGAUGUUGAUGGGAUCAUAUCCUUUUGAGGAUCCAAAUGAACCCAAAUGAACCAAAGGAUAUCAGGAAGACUAUACAAUGACGGUGCAGCUGCAUUAGUGAUAGUGAGUGGGGAGAAGGCACUUGAACUUGGGUUACAUGUUCUUGUUCUUUGAUACAGCAUUUUGAUAAUGCAAAGUGCUUUCUGUUAAAAAGAAGUGGGAGAGGAGAAGCAACCAUGUUUAUACCCAAGUGGAUAUUGAUGAGAUGAGGAAUGAGUGGGCUAGGUUUGUGGUUAAUAAAUACGUGUAGAAGCC
Rosa rugosa (rugosa rose) is the source of this 978-nucleotide long non-coding RNA. RefSeq lists it as uncharacterized. The transcript is spliced from 4 exons. The record is from RefSeq and is a predicted model, not a curated record. Lineage: Eukaryota; Viridiplantae; Streptophyta; Magnoliopsida; Rosales; Rosaceae.